GACGAACGCUGGCGGCGUGCUUAACACAUGCAAGUCGAACGGAAAGGCCCUGCUUUUGUGGGGUGCUCGAGUGGCGAACGGGUGAGUAACACGUGAGUAACCUGCCCUUGACUAUGGGAUAACUUCAGGGAACUGGGGACAAUACCGGAUAGGAGCUCCUGCUGCAUGGUGGGGGUUGGAAAGUUUCGGCGGUUGGGGAUGGUCUGGCGGCUAAUCAGCUUGUUGGUGGGGUAGUGGCUGACGAAGGGUUUGACGGGUAGCCGGCCUGAGAGGGGGACCGGCCACCAGGGGACUGAGGGAGGGCCCAGACUCCUACGGGAGGCAGCAGGGGGGAAUCUUGCACAAUGGGCGGACGCCUGAUGCAGCAACGCCGGGUUCGGGAUGACGGCCUGCGCGUUGUAAACCGCUUUCGCCUGAGACGAAGCGUGAGUGACGGUACUGUGUAAAGAAGCACCGGCUAACUACGUG
RNAcentral lists this ribosomal RNA (468 nucleotides) under uncultured bacterium. Its description in RNAcentral is "partial 16S ribosomal RNA". It matches the Rfam family "Bacterial small subunit ribosomal RNA", at positions 28 to 507 of the family's 1533-position model. The record is from RNAcentral.